Mauremys reevesii (Reeves's turtle) is the source of this 480-nucleotide long non-coding RNA. RefSeq lists it as uncharacterized. The transcript has 2 exons. NCBI's taxonomy places the organism in Eukaryota, Metazoa, Chordata, Testudines, Geoemydidae. The record is from RefSeq and is a predicted model, not a curated record.
AGUUCACCUCAUAAGCUCACCAACCAUCAGAGCAGACAGGUUGGCUUGGCUCAACCAAGAAAUGAAACCUCUCCUCCUGGGCUCUUGAAACCAGCAAGCUGAAGCAGAGAUGGUGAGAUGCCCAGGCCAGCACCGCCGCAGACCCCGACGUCGGAGGCGUUCCAUCCGAAGGACCAGGAGGAGCAGGAGGACGUGCGGCUGUAGAAAGCCAUCAAUGAAAAGGAGGCGGGGGUACGUGCGUGUUAUGACCACCUAUUACUAUAGGAGAUGAUCUGUGACACCUGUCCGUGGGCCUGUCUUGAAACGUGCAUCUCAUCAGCAGUCCAUCAGCCACCUGCUUCUUGAGCCUGAAAACCAACAACGCCCAUCACAUAAGACACCAAAAGAAACGAGCAAGCAAAUGGGUGACUCUGCAAGACCCAGGAGCCCUCCUGCCGCAGGAGACAUGCCGCCAACCUGCCAGUAAAGUUGUAAAAUGCA